GGACCUCAAAAUGAACCACUAUAAAUAUCCAAAGGACAAAGAUGCUGUAACAUGAAGCAGACCCCGAUAUGAAUGUGAUGCAGCCGUCUGAAAUCUCUGUGUAACAAAUAGUUAGCGUCCGAUGGCAAUGACGAGCCAUUAAGAUCAGCUGUGCUGUUUAAUUAUUCUUAGUGAACUUUGUGCAAUUAAAUAUAUAUACUAUUAGGGGUGCAAUGUAAGAGACACAGUGAUGUUCACCCACUCCAGGUCACGGCUUCCAGAAAGGUGAAAAGGUCUCUAUUUGUAUCGCACAGAACCAGAUUAUGAUAUUCUGUAUGUACUGAGCAGUAUACACAACACACUGCACAGUCAACAAGCCAUUUACAGUUAGCUUAAUGGCCAUCGAAGCACCUAAAACUACAGCUCUGGACAAAAGUUUUGCAUCAUGAAGUCUGUUAUUAGUAAUAUUGAAAUGAUCAGGAGCCAUGAGUUUGAGCAGGGUUACAAACUCACAUUAGCCCUGCUGCUGCUGUUGCACCCAGUCCUGGGGUUCAGAGCUCCCCUCAAUGAAGUCUGUUAUUAUUAAUAUUGAAAAGAUCAGGAGCCAGGAGUUUGAGCAGGGUUACAAACUCACACUAGCCCUGCUGCUGCUGCAUCCAGUCCUGGGGUUCAGAGUGUGGCGACCACCACAUAAAUUAUGUUAAAAAUACAUCAUUAUCUGUUCUUUAAUUAGAAUGGAUUACACCUGGCCAGGUUAAAAUACAUUGUUCAUCUCUGCCUUAUUUAUUAGCCUAUCUCCCGUUUGGCUUAGUUGUCCAGGCUUGAGGGGGAUUUAUCGGGGUUCAUUUUAUUUCUUUUUUCUAUGGGAAGGUUCUUCUAUUAUGCCAGUUACGGUAAUUGUUUUAAUUAAAGCCACCUGGGUUUCAUUGAUAAAAAGAGCGUAUUGUGGGAAACGGGAAAAAAUGGCCUGAAAGGAGAGCUGAUUGUUUGCAGGUUUUGUUGCGGUUUCUGCUUUGCUUUUUAAAUUAUUUAAGCUUAUUUAAAAACAUUUUUUUCUGGAGUAGCACUGAGCUAAUUGUCACGAAUACAGUUCUGGAAUGCUGUUCAUUUAUAUAUAUAUAUAUAUCUAUAUAUAUAGAUAUAUAGAUAUAUAGAUAUAUAGAUAUAUAUAUAUAGAUAUAUAUAUCUAUCUAUAGAUAGAUAGAUGGAUUAUUUGAAACUGAAGAUAACAGAGAUCGAUUUACAACCCAGGAACAACGCGCAGCCGGUCAUCGGACACACGGCAGGAAGGGCACAUCCUGGAAGACGAAGGGUUAACCAAAGUGGCCCGGAUGGUUUAGGCACUGACAGAGACAGCUGUGCAAGGACUCCUCUAGGGGCGGGGUUAAUUAUAUCCGUCAUUACGUUGGGUCAGUCUCCGUCAGUACGUUGUGUUUUUUUACCACAUGGUCUCUAAUCCUGAGUAUCUUUCUCACCACAUUACUGCAGGCUCGCUCUCUCUCUCUCUCUCUGAGAAGUGUUCUCCUCCUGUUUGCAGAAUCAGCCCCAUCGUUGCAUUUGGUAAUAUAUGAACGUUUAAACGAAGAAAAACGUCAACAAAGGAGUUUGUGAACUCCUGAAUAGAAAACGAAGCCUCUGCUCACCUUACCACCCUCAAACGAAUGGUUUGGUGGAAAGAAUGAAUGGCACCAUACAGAGAGCUCUAAGCAAACUUUGCCAGCAGAAGCCAGAGACCUGGGACACAUCUGGACGCGGUUAUUUUUGGGUUUAGGACAAAAAAAAGUUGACCACACGUCAUUUACCAUAUUUUAUCAUGUUUGGACGAGAGGCCCGCUACCCCUCUGAAGUUCCAGAAUCUUAUUGAGAACAUUCCAGAGAGAUUCAGUGCUGAGUAAACUUGGAGUAACUUCUAGAACUUUAUCGAACUUUCCAGUAAUAUAAAUAGUAGUAUAAAUACAGGGGCCUUAAGCCCACCAGUUCAGUUUAGUUCCAGCUGCCUAAGUGGAUACAUAUCUGCAUUUUUCUGAGAUGGCAUCAAGAGGCUGCAAGCAUCCAGCAGACGCAUUUUGCUAUGUCUGCGGCCAAUUUAUCAAGACGAGUGAAAAAGUACUCUGUGGAAGCAUCUGCUAAGAUGUGCGAGGCCUACAAGGCAUAUUUCGGCAUGCCUGUCGGGGAUCAAGACAAACCCUGGGCACCUCAUUUCACCUGCGAGCACUGCAAAAAAACUCUGGAAGGAUGGUACAGAGGGGAAAAGAGCCAUGAAGUUCGCUAUCCCAAGAAUUUAGCGGGAACCAACUGACCACUCAAGCAACUGCUACUUCUGCAUGGUGGACCCUUCCAAGCAGACAGAGUUCUCUGUGGGGAGGAACAACGUCAAGUGGGAGCCACUGGUGGACCCCUGGAAGGUGCUGAUGCCACCACUGCACAUCAAAUUGGGCCUUAUGAAACAAUUUGUCAGAGCUCUAGAUAAGGAGUCGGCAGCCAUCAAGUACUUUCAAGACUUCUUCCCUAAGCUGUCUGAGGCAAAGGUCAAAGCCGGUGUCUUCAUCGGACCACAGAUAAAGAAGAUCCUGGAGUGCAAUGAAUUCCCCAAGAAGCUCACUAGUAAGGAGAAAGCGGCUUGGAACAGCUUUGUCACAGUGGUUCGGGGCUUCCUGGGCAAUCACAAGGCCGAAAACUAUGUGGAGCUGGUUGAGACUCUGGUGAAGAACUACGGCACAAUGGGCUGUAGGAUGUCCCUCAAAGUCCAUAUCCUUGAAAAUCAUCUUGAUAAAUUCAAGGAGAACAUGGGAGCGUACUCGGAGGAGCAAGGCGAGCGCUUCCACCAGGAUAUACUGGACUUUGAACGCCGCUACCAAGGACAGUAUAACGAGAACAUGAUGGGAGACUACAUUUGGGGGCUGAUUCGUGAAAGUGAUUUACAGUAUAAUCGUAAAUCUCAAACUACUCGCUUCUAAAUCUUUUGUAGUCAUUUUUGUAUUACUUUAGUAUAAAUACAUGUUAAUUUGGAGUCAUAUGUUUUUUUCUGACUUUAUGUGAACAAAAAGACACACAUUCGCCCGUUUUCUCAUUGGAAAUAGGUAAAUUUCAAAAUAUCACUGUCCUGGUCACAAAAGCAAAGUUUGGGAAUAAUAGCCAUUUUCUAUACUUUUGAGGCAUAAGCAAUUAGGAAAUAACACUUACUACCCAGGAACUAAAAUUGUGUUACAUAGUGUAGCCACAUAAACAUUAAAAAUUGUGACAGUAUGGCUUGCCGUGCGCAGGUGUGGUGACAUCACGGACCAGGAACACAAAACCAAAAUAAGGAAUGGAGGUGCAAAACUGGAGCGCAACUGCGCUCAGGGUUUUAUUAAAUAAUAAAACCAACAGUUCAAACAAAACAAAACAAAAAGGCGCGUCGGCCGAACAAACAGAAAUAAACAAAUAAGUAUCGUGCUGGUGUAAAAACCAGCACGCUUAGCAGUUUGUGUUAAUUUCUUUACCUCCAAACUCCUCACUUGUUCUCCACUCUCGAACACCCUCACCCUGAGCGCAGACAGCUGCAGGCUUUUAUAUUCUGGCCGAGGGGUUAACUAGCAAUUAAUUAAUUAUCCUAUUACCCCUCGGCCAUAGUCUGGACAAGUUUAAAAAGGAUGCGUGACUGUCAGCUAGAAAAAUAAAUUGCAGGCUCAUCAGUCACACAUCCUCACAAGGUUUUAAUCAAAUAAUGACGGCUUUCAUCCGCAAUGCAAACAAUAAUAACACAAAUAAUACAUAUAGGGGAGGGACACUCCGCCACAGAAAUGUAUAUCAAUAUAGGUAUUCCGUACAUUUAUAUACUUGUUCAAUUUCUAAUCCGUCAAAAGUGCUUUCAAGAAGAGAGGUGAAAAAAAUAAAUAAAUCUAUUUGUCCCCCCCCCAGACUAUUAGUAACAUUGUAUUUAAUGUAACAAACUUUGUAACAACAUUUCAAAUGUUACUACCCCUCUGGCUACAAUGUUUCAGUUUCAUGGAGAACAAUGCAGUAACAGCUCACAACACCUUAUAUAACUCUGUGGUCUCUCACCUCUUCUUAAGGUCAAAUGAAGUAGUGCCUUAAAUGUCUAUAUAAAUGGGAUUUUGAAUCAAUGUAUUAAAAGCUAUUUCAAUUCACUUUUACGCAACAGUUCUUUUGAACAGUGCAAUAUGUGUAAGCAACAUUUAAAAAUAACUCUUCAUAACAGAGAUCACAUUUAUCCAGAAAUGUCCAUUGUAGUUAAACACUAUUAUACCACAUGGUGCUACAGAUAAAAAUGUAACAAUGACAAAGAAUAAAAUUUCCUGAGAAGAAAAAAAUAAAGCCAUAUAAUCUUAAUCAAUACAAACUUUCACCUCUGUAGAAUCUAGUUACACUUAAAGUAUACCUUUUUCAAUAGGUGAACAGAACCGUUGAGGAUGUGCUUGGGGAAGAGGUUGUGUUUCCAGGUAUAAAAUUAAAGGACAAAAUUUGAGACUGUGAGGGCAAAUGCACAAACUGCAGUAAAUGAAACAAAGGCCCGAAAAGAAGCAGCAGUGGCAGCAAGACAAACAUUCACUCUAGAUGAAAAGGUACUAAGGAAGAACCGCAGGAGCCAGCAGAGGAAAGGGGGAAAAAUGGAUCGGGACCUUCUGGGCCCUUUCACCAUUACGGCUGUACAGGGCAAAAGUGCAGAUUUGACUGAUGAGAAAGGAAAGGUCUUUCCAAGUAUCAGCUUGGAUCACUUGGUGCCCUAUACAGAAGAGGUUCCUCGUUUACCACACAAAGUACUUUUCUAGGGUUGCUCUUGGAAGACCUGGAUCUCCGGCCCCAGCUGUGGUCAGUCGAGGAUCUCCGGCCCCAGCUGUGGUCAGACGAGGAUCUCCGGCCCCAGCUGUAGUCAGUCCAGUUAUUCUUGAGAAAUGUAAUAAAUGCAUAUAUAACAGCACUGGUGAGGAGAUUUAAUCUUGAAGGGGACGAAAAAGCCUUCCUCAUUGAAUCAUUCACCAUGAGCAAAAUAUGGCGGGGCUCAUAUCAAACACUGAGAGCUUGAUCCCAGCAAGUACAGUUUGAUUUUGGGCAUUAUAAAUGAACAUCACCACUGGACACUUGCUGUUCUGUAUCCAUCCCAAAAGAAGACUAUUUUCUUGGAUCCACUGGGAGAGUCCAAAGAAAUUUGUAGAGGAUGUUCUUGAAGGCAGACAGAGCAACUUUUCCCCCCGAAGGGAGUCCAUUGCCGUUAUCUGAAAGGAAAUGGCAAUCAGCCUUCUUAAGGAAUCAGGUAUAAAGGGUAAUAGUACAGUAUGAGAGUUAAUACCGAAGGCACUGAUGAUGCACUUGUAAUAUUCUAAGCUCUUUUUACUGCACAGAUUAAUUUUGGGCCUGGAUCAUGAAGCUGCCUUUAAGUUAGGUUUAGCUUAAAUUCUCACAAUUGACAAUACAGUAAUAGUUCAGUGAGCUUGUUAAAUCUAGCCAGGUUCAUUGCAUUAAAAUUGAUCACUUAAUUGCACUUUGUUGGGUGAGCAGCAGCGUUGUCGUGUUAAUCUUGUAUUGUACAUGAAUAAAAAAAAUUGUGCAGCUAAACAUUUAAAAUGACUGGUAAAUACAUACAUGAAGAACAAACUACUUCAUCUACAGUAGUGAAACAGUCUGGUGGUGGAGUUUCUAACUAUUUCUAACUUGCAUGUGAGACUGCAAUGUCUGGGGGCCACUAAAGUUGCUGUUUUCAGGAAUGAAUAGUUGAUACAGGUAAGAGUACCUGAGAUGUACCUAUUAGUGCACGUUCUAAAAUAUGCACCCAAAUAUGAUUAUUGCACAAAUGAUCUGAGCAGUCUGUCUGUUUUGUGGAGAGCAGGACACUCUGGGGGAUGCAGUGUCACAAGAUGAAUGGGUAAUUUAGUAGUGAACACUUUAGUUGUAUUUUUAAACUUUUUCAACUGCAACUCCAAACAUCUUCUAAUCAAAAUUAAAAAUAAAUAAAUACAGAAAUAGAAGUAGAUGUUUUCUAAAAGUUUAUGCAAAUUAAAUGUCCAUGGUUUCCAUACUUCGUUAUGAUUUCCUAAUUAAACUCUACACUGCAUUAGUUUUUCUGCACCCUCUACUUUCCUUUGUAUUUUUCAGAUUGCGUGCGAUGGCUGCAGCAGGUGGUUCCUCCACGUGUUUCACGGCCAUCAACUUAGGUCAGCUUUUGUGCAGCAUGCACAAUGUGAGGACACACAGAUGCUUCAUUUCCACUGCAGGCGCAACUGGGCCAGCCGCGCAAGAGCCGUGCCCCCGCCAAGAAACGUCUCCAGUGACGGGCCUCCCUAACCAGAGCUGUUGUAGCCUACUCGAGUCUCAGCUAAUGCUACCGUGGAACACAGAGAAGACGGCUUUGGGACUUUUUAUUGUUAUAAACAUUUCUUAUUGAUUGCUGCUGUUAGACAAUUACAUUACCUUUGCUGCUGUAACCAUUUCCAACGUUACUGAUAUUGAUAUAGUUAGCUGGUUAUUGCUGUAGCCGAACCUAUAUUUAAGUUGUGAUGGUUACUGCUGUUAUGGAUAUAGCUAUUUGUCCAUUGUUGCUAUUGCUGUAGCUAAAUCUAUAUUUGAAUUGUGAUAAUCAUUGUGAAUACUGCUGCUACUGAUCCAGCUAUUGUUAUUGCGACCAAUAUUUAGUUAUAUUUUGUAUAUGUGCUUGGCCAUUGUAGUGUGUUUUUAAUCUGAUUGUUUUAAUAAUUAAAUUAAUCCCUUUCAAAA
This is a long non-coding RNA of Acipenser ruthenus (sterlet), 6690 nucleotides long. RefSeq lists it as uncharacterized. The transcript has 11 exons. Lineage: Eukaryota; Metazoa; Chordata; Actinopteri; Acipenseriformes; Acipenseridae. The record is from RefSeq and is a predicted model, not a curated record.